GGCAGCGCUCCGGGCCCCGCCACGUGCGCGAAGUGCCGGCGGGGCGUCCUCCGGAGGGGGAGCGGCUCCGUGAAGGGCGGCGAUCCCGUGGGCUGGGGAGGAACGCGCGGGGAAACGCCGCGUCCGUCUUCGGGCAGCAGCGAGCGGAGCGGGAACGGAGCGCUCCGGUGUCGCCGCUCGGCCCCUUUCCGGCAACGGCCCCGAGCUGGGAGCCAGAGGCAAACCUGCCCCACAACACCAUUUGAUAACAAUACAUUUCACGACUGCCUCUUUUUUUUUUUUGGGUCCAAACUCUUUUAUCACCAAAGGAUUGAUGUGACUUACCACAUAGAUCUCAUGUCAGGAACAAGAACUGAAGUUGUCUUACUUUUCCUUAAAAAAGGAAAAAGUUUGCUCUUGAAGUAUUGCCAACAAAUAAUACUUUCAGAACCUCUUGCAUAGUUCGGAUGCCAAAGUCACACUGGAAGUCAGUGAGAUUCAAGAUUUUAACUCGCACUGCAAAUGUGAUUCAAAGGCUUUAAGGGUGAAGCGUCUGUCCCUGCAGAGGAUCUGAGCAAGGCUCCUUUACCCUUCAGGUUCUGGGCUGAUCGGUAGGACCAAGAGGUGGGAGAGAGGUCACAGAGGGCUCCUGCCAUCUACGGAUAUGCUGAUCAUAAGUUUGCCUGAAUGUGGAGAAGAGUGAAGAUGAAGCACAGUGGCUCAGGAAGCACAUAACACAAUGCUUCUCAUUUUAAGAGUCUGAUAAUUAAGCCAUUAAAGAGUGCUGGGACUAGCAAUACCAUGUCUACGGGGAGCUAAUUACUUGUACCACUGGUAAAAUACCAUGACAACAAUAAAGGACAUUUUAUAGACAAGGAAUGCUGACAAGCUCCUGCCCUGAAGCAUGCAGCUGGAGGGCUCAGCCUGUACCCUUCCAAGUCAGUGGAACAUCUCCAGUGCACAACAGCAACUUGGGACCCGCAUUUCUGCUGUCAAGUUUGCGUGGAAAUAAAUAGGAGGCAUCACUUCUGGACCAGUCUACGUGUUACAGCAGAACAGCCCCCUUGGCCUUCAUUCCAUUCCUCUUCCUGGUGGGACAGAAGCAUCUGAAUGCAUUACAGAAAAAUUACACUCCCUCCAUAUGGAUGCAAGAUUGCUGGACCCCGUUUGAAAGGAGGAUUUUUUGGUCUCCAAGACCUGGACCUCAGCCACCCUCUGCAGCUCUCUCCUCC
RNAcentral lists this long non-coding RNA (1211 nucleotides) under Gallus gallus (chicken). RNAcentral's name for it is "lncRNA (ENSGALG00010023697.1)". Lineage: Eukaryota; Metazoa; Chordata; Aves; Galliformes; Phasianidae. The record is from RNAcentral.